This 96-nucleotide non-coding RNA is filed under the name Marininema mesophilum. Lineage: Bacteria; Bacillati; Bacillota; Bacilli; Caryophanales; Thermoactinomycetaceae. The record is from RNAcentral.
GAGAGCCGGAUACCUUGAGAGGGGUAUGUCCGGUCGGAGGGGAGGAUUUGGAAACCUAUACCGGAAACGGGACAAGGCGCUGGGUCCUUACCCUAC